CUCAGAUCCACUAGCCUGGCGUGAGAAGGCAGAAUCGUGACACACCCCUUCCAACUCCCAGAGUUAUCGACCUCGGCCAAUAAGGAGUCAGUUUGUUAAAUGGGUGUAAAGUGGUCUCCCCAUGGAUGGAAGGGUCUUCCUCACAUUUCCGAAGAGAGUAAAUGUAGCGGUUGAAUUAGUAACCAAGCUAAAUUAACUUUAACAAAUUACAAC
Sander lucioperca (pikeperch) is the source of this 213-nucleotide long non-coding RNA. RefSeq lists it as uncharacterized. The transcript has 3 exons. The record is from RefSeq and is a predicted model, not a curated record. Lineage: Eukaryota; Metazoa; Chordata; Actinopteri; Perciformes; Percidae.